Anolis carolinensis (green anole) is the source of this 2534-nucleotide long non-coding RNA. The record is from Ensembl. Lineage: Eukaryota; Metazoa; Chordata; Lepidosauria; Squamata; Anolidae.
AAGCACAAAACAGAAAGCUCCCUCCUAACAUGGAAAUCUGCUCAACACGAAAGAGUGUGCCGGGUAUGUUUGGUGGCUACAGGUGAACUCUGGGCCUGCUUACAGGCCACCACACACACACUCAGAGAGUGUGGAGGGUGUGCAUGGUGACUGGCGGGGCUUGCAGGCCUCACCACACACACGCUCUCCAAGAGUGUGGCAGGGCAUGUGUGGUGGCUGGCAAGGUGUGCAGGAAGGCCUCGAGUACGCCUGUAGCUGAACACCUUACUCCAGAGGAGCAACAGCAGGUGCCAGCAGGAUAUUGACACAUGACAAGAUGUAGCUGAUACAGUUCUUUCUUCAUAUGAAAAAAACUGACAAGAAAAAAAAAUCCCUCUGCUUUGAAUGCAGUUUCCAAAACAAAUGAUUCUUAAACAGUCAAGAAUCUGUUGUGGGUUUGCCCAUCUCACAUAUUGUCUCUAACAGUGAGCAUUUUUUUUGUCUCAUCCAUAAACUUUAAAUAGAAAUUAGAUGUGUAUGGGGGGGGGGGGAGGGGGUUGAGAGAGAAAAGAUUCAUUUGGAAAGAUGGCUAAACUCAAAAAGUACCAGGGAUAAAAAAAUCACUUUCAGAUGAGCUCGUAGUCCAAGAAAGAAAUGUGCAACCUACCCUGUUCCCCCCAAAAUAAGACAGGGUCUUAAAUUAUUUUUUUUGCUCCAAAAGAUGUGUUGGGGCUUGUUUUCAUGGGCAGUCUUAUUUUUCCAAAUUGACUUUUUAAAUGAACUGUAUAUAGGACUUAUUUUUGAAAUAGGGCUUAUAUUUUGAGUAUCUUCAAAAAUGCUGAAAAAUCAUGAUAGGUCUUAUUUUCAGGAUAGGUCUUAUUUUAUGGGAAACAGGGAAUGAAUGUGAUAAUGUGGGCUAAUACAAUAACAGCAGACUGUCUGGUUCUUACACAUGCCAUACCACCUGAUCGUGAAAGGUACUCUGUAUGGAGUACUAUUUCAACAGUCUGGUGAUUAUCUGAACCAACACUAUCAGUUUUACAUUUCAGUUAUAUUAGUUCUCAAACACAUUUACUGGUGAACACCAUUGUGCUCAAUAUCAUUUCCAGUGAUAUGAUGUUGUUUAUGGCCACUAUUUUGGCCAUUUUUAAGUAGCCUCCCCCCCAUUUUGGGUAAGUUUGGUGGGGAGGAAGAAUAGGAAAGAAUGGGGGGGGGGAAUGGUUGCUCUUAUGGUCAUUUUGGUGUGAUUUCGGGGCAAAAAAUGAUCCCCAAAUCAGCCUGAUUUUUGUAAAUCAGGGGAGGGUAUGAGAGAUUUGAGGGUCUUAUUUUGGUCACACUUUUCCCCUCCUGUCAGAGCUGCAGAAUGUUCUGAUAGUCAAUAGUCUUCAAAGCAUAUACAGUAAUAGAGUUUUCUGUUUUUCAUACUAAAGACAGGACACACAUUUUGGCUUCAGGAGUACGCGCAGAACUGAUUGACUUGCAGUAACUACAUCUCCUGAUGGAUAGACUCAAAUGGAUAAAAAUUGUAGCCUGGGGUAUCAUUGGGAGUUAUAAUUAUUUCCCAUAUUAAUAAUUAACAGUGAUAAUUAUGUUCCACAUUAACAAUUUUCCCAAGUGGUAAAGCUGGCAGAAAUUAUGUUUGCUUUACAAAAAAGCAACAGGUAAUCAGAAAAAUUAUUGUUGGUUCUUGUAUGUCCUUAAGAGCACUCUCCCUCGUGCACACAAAGAUCUGUUUUCUCUUCCUUUACCCUGCCCCUGUCCAUCUUCUUUGUUAAUUAUUUCCAUAUUAGUAUGAAAAGCAACACAGCUUUCAGGGAUAUAAUGAUCUGGACAAUAUGUACCAAGACCAGAUGGAACAACCAAAUUAUAGUCCAAGUGGACUCCUCCAUCUCAUUGUUAUUUUCCACCAGUGAACAUUUCAUGUGUGUGAGCAGGUGUUGAAAGGUUUAGCUAGAAAGAGGGUCAGUUGCUAUUUGCAACACAAUAUAAUCCCCCUCUUGUGGGUGUUUCGUGUAUAUGGUCUCCUGUGUGAUGUUAUGGGGGAGGGAGGAGUGCUUUUGCAAUUUAUUUAUUCAAAUCUCCCAGGAAAUGAAGCAGUAUUCAUCUUUCUACUGGAGUUAAUAGUGGGAGCUCAUCCCGCUCUCUGGAUUCAAACUGCUGACCUUUUGGUCAGCAAGUUCAUCAGCUCAGCAGUUUAACCCACUGUGCCACUGCGGGCUCCUGUUGAUUAGUAUGUGGAUGAAAUUACAAGGAUUAUUAGUAUAAGUUGAGUAUCCCUUAUCGGGAAUUCUAAAUCCAAAAUACUCUGAAAUCCACAUGGAUAGCUAAGAGGAUAGCACAUUUGCUUUCUGAUGGUGCUAUGUACGCAAAACUGCGUUGUGUUUACAGCUAAAUCAAGGCCCUAUGUAUAAAGUGAAUAUAAAACCUAAAUAAAUGUAAUAUUUAGAGCUAGGUUCCUUCUCCCAGAUAUUUCAUUAUGUAGGCAUUCCGAAAUCAGUUAGGAUGGUGUGUGUGUGUGUGUGUGGGGGGGGGGGGGAUCUAAAAUUCAGAAAACU